GAUGAACGCUGGCGGCGUGCCUAAUACAUGCAAGUCGAACGAACAGACGAGGAUCUUGCUCCUCUCACGUUAGCGGCGGACGGGAGAGUAACACGUGUAUAACCUACCUAAAUGACUGGUAUAACUUCGGAAAACCGGAGCUAAUACCGGAUAACAUGCUGAACCGCAUGGGUCAACAGUGAAAGACGGUGUUGCUGUCACGUAUAGAUGGAUCUGGGUCGCAUUAGCUAGUUGGUAAGGAAACGGCUUACCAAGGCAAGUAGGCGUAUCCGACCUGAGAGGGUGAUCGCCCACCCUGGAGCUGAGCCACCGUCAAGGCGACUACGGGAGGCAGCAGAAGGGAACGUUCCGCAAUGGUCGAAAGCCUUGCGGAGCAAGCGCGCGUGAGUUAAGACGGUCUUGGGAUCGGGAAAAUCUGUUUUUAGGUAAGAACCAAUGUGUCAGGAACCAUACCCGGCUUGACGGUAAUUAAUCAGAAAGCCCCGGCUAACUACGUG
Molecule: ribosomal RNA, 497 nt
Filed under: uncultured bacterium
Lineage: Bacteria
Description: partial 16S ribosomal RNA
Rfam family: Bacterial small subunit ribosomal RNA
Source: RNAcentral